UUAUAAUGGCAAUACCUAUAGGCGACAAUGGACGGAUCUUACGGAAUUCAGAUUUAUCAGUUAUUUUUUUGUUUUUGCUGGCUUACAUUAUUUCUAUAAUAUCAUUCUGUUUACUUAUCAGCGCCUUCUUCAGCAAAGCUAAUAUUGGGGCAGCCGUUGCGGGAAUACUGUAUUUUGGUUUGUAUGUUCCCUAUUUCUAUAUCAGCCUGGAUUAUCCAACAAUUAGCCGCAGUCAAAAAUUAGCCGCAUCUCUUCUAUCUAACACAGCCAUGUCGAUAGGAAGCUAUUCUAUUGGUUUAUACGAAGGAACUGGCGAAGGUGUCCAGUGGAGUAACAUGGGAUCACCACCAACACCAGACGAUAACUUUUCCAUGUCAGACGCCAUCUUGAUGUUACUAGGUGACAGUGCUAUUUACCUAACGAUUAUGUGGUAUGUGGAAAAUGUCUAUCCCGGAAAACAUGGCGUCCCGAAGCCUUUUUAUUUUC
Long non-coding RNA from Patella vulgata (common limpet), 486 nucleotides. RefSeq lists it as uncharacterized. The record is from RefSeq and is a predicted model, not a curated record. Lineage: Eukaryota; Metazoa; Mollusca; Gastropoda; Patellidae. The transcript has 3 exons.